This 465-nucleotide ribosomal RNA is filed under the name uncultured bacterium. RNAcentral describes it as "partial 16S ribosomal RNA". It matches the Rfam family "Bacterial small subunit ribosomal RNA", at positions 28 to 507 of the family's 1533-position model. The record is from RNAcentral.
GACGAACGCUGGCGGCGUGCUUAACACAUGCAAGUCGAACGGUGAACCUGCUUCGGUGGGGGAUCAGUGGCGAACGGGUGAGUAACACGUGGGCAACCUGCCCUCAGCUCUGGGAUAACUCCAAGAAAUUGGGGCUAAUACUGGAUAUGACCGCUGACCGCAUGGUCUGGUGGUGGAAAGAUUUAUCGGCUGGGGAUGGGCCCGCGGCCUAUCAGCUUGUUGGUGGGGUAGUGGCCUACCAAGGCGACGACGGGUAGCCGGCCUGAGAGGGUGACCGGCCACACUGGGACUGAGACACGGCCCAGACUCCUACGGGAGGCAGCAGUGGGGAAUAUUGCGCAAUGGGCGAAAGCCUGACGCAGCGACGCCGCGUGGGGGAUGACGGCCUUCGGGUUGUAAGCCUCUUUCAGCAGGGACGAAGCGAAAGUGACGGUACCUGCAGAAGAAGCACCGGCCAACUACGUG